Molecule: long non-coding RNA, 789 nt
Filed under: Triticum aestivum (bread wheat)
Lineage: Eukaryota; Viridiplantae; Streptophyta; Magnoliopsida; Poales; Poaceae
Description: long non-coding RNA (TAES_LNC009054)
Source: RNAcentral
UCCAAAUUAGAUGGUCAGGACAAUACCAGUUGUAGCAUGGAUAUUGAUGCUGGUAACCAGGAAGAGGGAAAAAAUGUUCUCCCGGCUGCUGCUACAAGUGUAGAUGUAGGGAACACACCUGUAUCUUCAGAUCAAGCUGUCUCGAAUGAAGGGAGUGAUGCGGUUCAGGCACCUGUAUCUUCAGAUCAAGCUGUCUCGAAUGAAGGGAGUGACGCGGUUCACGCACCUGUAUCUUCGGAUGAAGCUGCGUCAAAUGAAGAGAGCGGCGCGGUUCCUGAAUAAAACAUCUUCCGCAUACCUCAUCUGCAGCGGAUGUCACAAGCAUGAUGCCAAAGGUGACUACUGAACACUAGCUCGCGUGCCAUGUUUGUUUUGUUAAUUUUCGUUUUGACUCUCUGCUGGUCUGAACAUUUGUGGAAGUAAAACCUGAUAUUUACAGUUUUCUAUUGAAAAUAUGAACUUGAGGAAACAGGUCAUCCCGCUAGUGGUGCUUUUGACCUUUUUUUUAUGGGCCACGCUUCGGGUCUGGGUUUCGAAGAAGCACCCAUGUUUGACCUGAUCAUGUGGGGCAAAAUAUCACCGUCUUUUGUGGUGGUGGCUGCAGCCGGUGUUUGUGGGAUGUGGGAUUAUAACUGCUGCUGUUGCGCUGCUGGUGCUGUUCAUGUUGCUAGUGCUACUUGCGAUAUGAUUUUCAAGAUGUGGCGCUUUAGCUUUGCUCAUGUUGGUCAUGUCUGUUAGCCUCACUGGUUUCAAGAGGUUUUAAGAAUAAAAAACUGCUCCUUGUGUGUG